UGGGGAAUAUUGGACAAUGGGCGAAAGCCUGAUCCAGCCAUGCCGCGUGUGUGAAGAAGGUCUUCGGAUUGUAAAGCACUUUAAGUUGGGAGGAAGGGCAGUAAGCGAAUACCUUGCUGUUUUGACGUUACCGACAGAAUAAGCACCGGCUAACUCUGUGCCAGCAGCCGCGGUAAUACAGAGGGUGCAAGCGUUAAUCGGAAUUACUGGGCGUAAAGCGCGCGUAGGUGGUUAGUUAAGUUGAAUGUGAAAGCCCCGGGCUCAACCUGGGAACUGCAUCCAAAACUGGCGAGCUAGAGUAGGGCAGAGGGUGGUGGAAUUUCCUGUGUAGCGGUGAAAUGCGUAGAUAUAGGAAGGAACACCAGUGGCGAAGGCGACCACCUGGGCUCAUACUGACACUGAGGUGCGAAAGCGUGAGGAGCAAACAGG
Molecule: ribosomal RNA, 429 nt
Filed under: Pseudomonadota bacterium
Lineage: Bacteria; Pseudomonadati; Pseudomonadota
Description: Proteobacteria bacterium partial 16S ribosomal RNA
Rfam family: Bacterial small subunit ribosomal RNA
Source: RNAcentral